Molecule: ribosomal RNA, 253 nt
Filed under: uncultured bacterium
Lineage: Bacteria
Description: partial 16S ribosomal RNA
Rfam family: Bacterial small subunit ribosomal RNA
Source: RNAcentral
AACGUAGGAGACGAACGUUAUCCGGAGUUACUGGGCGUAAAGGGCGUGUAGGCGGUUUGUUAAGUCUGGCGUGAAAGCUCUCGGCUAAACCGGGAGAGGUCGUUGGAUACUGGCGAACUCGAGGAUGGUAGAGGCGUGUGGAAUUCCGGGUGUAGUGGCGAAAUGCGUAGAGAUCCGGAGGAACACCAGUGGCGAAGGCGACACGCUGGGCCAUACCUGACGCUAAAGCGCGACAGCAUGGGGAGCAAACGGG